UUUUUGCCACCUCCGCUUGUUCAAC
This 25-nucleotide non-coding RNA is filed under the name Arabidopsis thaliana (thale cress). Lineage: Eukaryota; Viridiplantae; Streptophyta; Magnoliopsida; Brassicales; Brassicaceae. The record is from RNAcentral.